Synchiropus splendidus (mandarinfish) is the source of this 882-nucleotide long non-coding RNA. RefSeq lists it as uncharacterized. The transcript is spliced from 3 exons. The record is from RefSeq and is a predicted model, not a curated record. Lineage: Eukaryota; Metazoa; Chordata; Actinopteri; Syngnathiformes; Callionymidae.
GACCCAGCUCACCAGGGCCAUCAGCAGCCCCAGAAGAAUGAGGAAGAUCCAGUCCUCUCCCACGCGUGAGAUCAAGAACUUCUGGCAUCUGGACGCACAUGCUGCGAAAACAUUGAUGGCAGAGAGGGGGAGAGACAGGGGGCUGACCGGGCAGAUGCCUACUGUGAGGCCACCUGCUGGAUGGCCCUCUGCCCACAGCUAUCAAACCACAACUCUUCAAUCUAUACGUUGAAAAACACCCCUCCAAACCAUCAUGUAACCGCAAAUAUUCUCCAAAAUGCGGGCGAGGCCGGGGCUGAUUUGGAGAAGCUUCCACCUGUGGAGCCAUCUACAUGACGGUAAUCAGAUGAACGCCAUUCUAUGCUCCUCUGAAAGAGCAAGAGGCACCAGAUGGAUGUGGUGAUGAGAUAAAAAUAGACAUAGACCUUGUUCACUGCCGUUCGCUGCCGUGCUAUGUUCUCAAUCCUAAAGCUGGUACCUGUGUUGACCAUGUCAAAUUUCCACAGACCAAAUCCGAGGUUAUAGGAACAUGCAAAACAGCUUAAACUGUAUGUUUUUAACCCUGACUCAAUUCAUUUCAUGGAUUCAUUUGGCUCAGUGCCCCAAUCCUUCGAUCCAACCACCUACACACCCCCUCCUCCAUGCAUUUAGUCAACCCAACAUGUCCAUCCUCUCAGAAUAUGCAUCCAUCCAUCAACCAUCCAACAUUUCAUCCAUCCAUUUAUCCAACCAUUUGCAUGUCUUUCCAUUGAUGCCACCAACGUCCACUGAUUCAUCAAUCAUUCAUCCAUUUUUUCACCCAUCCAACCAGGAGUCCAGUCAUAAAACAUUCUCUUAUUUUUCCCUGCAUGAGAGAAGUGCCCCUUCUUGAACACAUUCUUC